RNAcentral lists this ribosomal RNA (406 nucleotides) under uncultured bacterium. RNAcentral describes it as "partial 16S ribosomal RNA". It matches the Rfam family "Bacterial small subunit ribosomal RNA", at positions 29 to 526 of the family's 1533-position model. The record is from RNAcentral.
AUUGAACGCUGGCGGCAGGCCUAACACAUGCAAGUCGAGCGAGCGGCGGACGGGUGAGUAAUGUCUGGGAAACUGCCUGAUGGAGGGGGGUAACUACUGGAAACGGUAGCUAAUACCGCAUACCCUCAGAUGUGCCCAGAUGGGAGUAGCGAGUGGGUGGGGUAACGGCCUACCUAGGCGACGAUCCCUAGCUGGUCUGAGAGGAGGACCAGCCAAACUGGGACUGGGACAAGGCCCAGACUCCCACGGGAGGCAGCAGGGGGGAAUAGUGGGCAAUGGGGGCAAACCUGACGCAGCCAUGCCGCGGGAUUGAAGAAGGCCUUCGGGGUGUAAAGUCCUUUCAGCGGGGAGGCGUUACCCGCAGAAGAAGCACCGGCUAACUCCGUGCCAGCCGCCGCGGUAAUAC